RNAcentral lists this ribosomal RNA (712 nucleotides) under Nacobbus aberrans. Its description in RNAcentral is "SSU rRNA". It matches the Rfam family "Eukaryotic small subunit ribosomal RNA", at positions 463 to 1187 of the family's 1831-position model. The record is from RNAcentral. Lineage: Eukaryota; Metazoa; Nematoda; Chromadorea; Rhabditida; Pratylenchidae.
UGUAGCUUGCAUACGAGACAGUUCUCUUACGAGGCCUGUCAUCGGAAUGGGUACAAUCUAAACCCUUUAACGAGUAUCUAUGAGAGGGCAAGUCUGGUGCCAGCAGCCGCGGUAAUUCCAGCUCUCAAAAUGCAUAGAAUUAUUGCUGCGGUUAAAAAGCUCGUAGUUGGAUCUGUGCUGGCGUCCCGGUCCGCCCUCACGGGCGUGCACUGGAUUCGCCGGUUUUCCGCUCAACUCCUGCCAGCGCCCUUCACCGGGUGUCUGGAAAGGGUGAGCAAGUUUACCUUGAACAAAUCAGAGUGCUCAAAACAGGCGUUUCGCUUGAAUGUUCGUGCAUGGAAUAAUAGAAGAGGAUUUCGGUUCAAUUUUAUUGGUUUUAUUGACUGAGAUAAUGGUUAACAGAGACAAACGGGGGCAUUCGUAUUGCUACGUGAGAGGUGAAAUUCUUGGACCGUAGCAAGACGGACUACAGCGAAAGCAUUUGCCAAGAAUGUCUUCAUUAAUCAAGAACGAAAGUCAGAGGUUCGAAGGCGAUCAGAUACCGCCCUAGUUCUGACCGUAAACGAUGCCAACUAGCGAUCCGCCGGCGGAAUUUUUGCCCUGGUGGGGAGCUUCCCGGAAACGAAAGUCUUCCGGUUCCGGGGGAAGUAUGGUUGCAAAGCUGAAACUUAAAGGAAUUGACGGAAGGGCACCACCAGGAGUGGAGCCUGCG